This 101-nucleotide ribosomal RNA is filed under the name uncultured archaeon. RNAcentral describes it as "partial 16S ribosomal RNA". It matches the Rfam family "Archaeal small subunit ribosomal RNA", at positions 324 to 426 of the family's 1478-position model. The record is from RNAcentral.
UACGGGGUGCAGCAGUCGCGAAAACUUUGCAAUAAGCGAAAGCUUGACAGGGCUAUCCCGAGUGCCAUCCGCUGAGGAAGGCUUUUACCCAGUCUAGAACG